Molecule: ribosomal RNA, 250 nt
Filed under: uncultured Gardnerella sp.
Lineage: Bacteria; Bacillati; Actinomycetota; Actinomycetes; Bifidobacteriales; Bifidobacteriaceae
Description: partial 16S ribosomal RNA
Rfam family: Bacterial small subunit ribosomal RNA
Source: RNAcentral
UAGAGUAAUGCGUGACCAACCUGCCCCAUGCUCCAGAAUAGCUCUUGGAAACGGGUGGUAAUGCUGGAUGCUCCAACUUGACGCAUGUCUUGUUGGGAAAGUGUUUAGUGGCAUGGGAUGGGGGUCGCGUCCUAUCAGCUUGUAGGCGGGGUAAUGGCCCACCUAGGCUUCGACGGGUAGCCGGCCUGAGAGGGCGGACGGCCACAUUGGGACUGAGAUACGGCCCAGACUCCUACGGGAGGCAGCAGCC